Molecule: transfer RNA, 72 nt
Filed under: Albula goreensis
Lineage: Eukaryota; Metazoa; Chordata; Actinopteri; Albuliformes; Albulidae
Rfam family: tRNA
About the family: Transfer RNA (tRNA) molecules are approximately 80 nucleotides in length. Their secondary structure includes four short double-helical elements and three loops (D, anti-codon, and T loops).
Source: Rfam by way of RNAcentral
GACCAUGUGGCCUAAUGGAUAAGCGUCUGACUUCGGAUCAGAAGAUUGAGGGUUCGAGUCCCUUCGUGGUUG